UACGGAGGAUGCGAGCGUUAUCCGGAUUUAUUGGGUUUAAAGGGUGCGCAGGCGGUCUGUUAAGUCAGCGGUCAAAGCCCGGGGCUCAACUCCGGGACUGCUUUUGAAACUGUGUGACUGGAGUGCAGGAGAGGUAAGCGGAAUUCCUGGUGUAGCGGUGAAAUGCGUAGAUAUAUGGAAGAACACCAGUGGCGAAGGCGGCCGCCUGGCCUGUUGCUGACGCUGAGGCACGAAAGCGUGGGGAGCAAAUAGG
Molecule: ribosomal RNA, 253 nt
Filed under: uncultured bacterium
Lineage: Bacteria
Description: partial 16S ribosomal RNA
Rfam family: Bacterial small subunit ribosomal RNA
Source: RNAcentral